AAUUUUGGACAAUGGGCGCAAGCCUGACCCAGCCAUGCCGCGCGAGUGAAGAACGCCCUUUGGGUGUAAUGCCCUUUCGGCUGGAAAGAAAUCGCGCAGGCGAAUACCCUGUGCGGAUGACGGUACCGGCUUAAGUAGCUUCGGCCAUCUAAGUGCCAGUCGCCGCGGUAAUACGUAGGGUGCGAGCGUUAAUCGGAACUACUGGGAGUAAAGCGUUCGCAGGCGGUUGAUUAAGACAGGCGUGAAAUCCCCGGGCUUAACCUGGGAACUGCGAUUGUGACUGGUCAGCUGGAGUACGGCAGAGGGGGGUGGAAUUCCACGUGUAGCAGUGAAAUGCGUAGAGAUGUGGAGGAACACCGAUGGCGAAGGCAGCCCCCUGGGCCGAUACUGACGCUCAUGCACGAAAGCGUGGGUAGCAAACAAG
This 424-nucleotide ribosomal RNA is filed under the name uncultured bacterium. RNAcentral describes it as "partial 16S ribosomal RNA". It matches the Rfam family "Bacterial small subunit ribosomal RNA", at positions 360 to 776 of the family's 1533-position model. The record is from RNAcentral.